This 493-nucleotide ribosomal RNA is filed under the name uncultured bacterium. Its description in RNAcentral is "partial 16S ribosomal RNA". It matches the Rfam family "Bacterial small subunit ribosomal RNA", at positions 29 to 523 of the family's 1533-position model. The record is from RNAcentral.
AUUGAACGCUGGCGGCAUGCUUUACACAUGCAAGUCGAACGGUAACAGGUUAAGCUGACGAGUGGCGAACGGGUGAGUAAUGCAUCGGAACGUGCCCGAUCGUGGGGGAUAACGCAGCGAAAGCUGCGCUAAUACCGCAUACGAUCUGAGGAUGAAAGCGGGGGACCGUAAGGCCUCGCGCGAUCGGAGCGGCCGAUGUCAGAUUAGGUAGUUGGUGGGGUAAAGGCCCACCAAGCCGACGAUCUGUAGCUGGUCUGAGAGGACGACCAGCCACACUGGGACCGAGACACGGCCCAGACUCCUACGGGAGGCAGCAGUGGGGAAUUUUGGACAAUGGGCGAAAGCCUGAUCCAGCAAUGCCGCGUGCAGGAAGAAGGCCUUCGGGUUGUAAACUGCUUUUGUACGGAGCGAAAAGGUCCUUUCUAAUACAGGGGGCUCAUGACGGUACCGUAAGAAUAAGCACCGGCUAACUACGUGCCAGCAGCCGCAGUAA